UAAAGAAGCCCCUACUUCAUCCGAGAGACACUCCGCGCCCCAGGUAGAUAUACGGGGUGUACGUUUUGGGAAGACGACGCCUCUCUCCUACCCUGCACUCCUCAGGCCGGCCGAAAAUACAGGCAUUCCCCAAAACAGUAGUAAGUAAAAUCAGGUGCGCUGGGAUUGAGACAUGCGGGAAGGGCACGGAGGGAGCAGCGACAGCGGCAGGACAGAAGCCCCGCAGCCGCAGGGCAGGAGCCCCCACAGCCCCCGCUGCUCCCCCGCACGCCCGGCCGCCCUCGCUCGAGCCGCUGCCACCUCCCAGCACAUUCCACGGGACUGGAAAUCCUUUCCUAUCCUUCUGGAGAAUCCUUCCCCACCUCCAAUCCAAUCCGAGUUCUUCAGGGGAUCAGGAAGAGCGAUGAACUUUUUUCCACCUGAUCUCCCCCCGCGGAUUCCCAGACAUUCCUCAGGCAUGCUCACGGCUCCCUCAGCCACCAGCAUUUCUGUCCUUUCCCCUACACGGGGGGGGGGGGGGAACCCUGAGCCCUUCCAGCAUCCACGGCUUUGUCUGCAAGGGUUAAACCAGGGAAUGGAGCAGUGUCCUUUCUGUCGGAGACACGCCACCUGAACGCGAAAUCAAACCUACUCACCGGGUGAAAUCGCAGGAGGCGAAGCGGCUGUGAGCAAAACGCGUCCCGGCUCCGAGCACAUAGUCCAUGUUCUGCGGCUUCAGGCUAGAGCAGGGCUGAGCAGGGCGGGGGGACUUGGGGAACCGGCAGCAGUUCUGUGUGUGAAACAACCCAUUUACACCGUGCGUGCCUGUCUGUGUGUGUGUGUAGGGCAGAGAGAGGCUCCAGACCCAAAACGGGGAAAGGAGGGGAGGAGGGAGGGAGGAGAGAGAAGGAGGAGGAGAGAGGGAAGCAAACCCGAAUAGCGAGAGGAGUUGCGGGGAGGAAUGGGAUUUGCUGGGGUUGAGGUGGGGUUUUUUGGUGGUGAUGGAAGCGAUUCUCGAGGAAAGAAUAAUAAACUGCGGGAUCUCAGCAGCAGGCAGGAUGGAGAGGGGCUUUGCCCAGGCAGGUGGAGCACCGAGCAGCGGGAGGCUGGAGCGAGCCGGGCGGGCCACAGAGGGCCGGGGGGCGGCUCAGCCACCGGCCGGGGCGCUGGGGACGCCGCUGGUCGGGCUCUCGGGCUCGGGGUCCGCGGGGCUCGGGGGUUCGGGGGGCUCGGAGUCCACGGGGCUCCGGGUCCGCGGGCCUCCGCCACCUGCCUGGGUGCGGGGGGAGUGGCGCAGGGGGCGCGGGAGCCGCGGAGCGGGGACAGCGACACAGCCGGGUAGGGCUCCAGCGAGCCGCAGCGGCGACAUCGACCGGCCCGGCUGUCGGAGGGGCUCUCCCCGCAUCCCCUCCCCGCUGUCCGUUCGUGCCCGGCAGGGAAGGGCUGCGAGUCCUGGAGCGGGGAACGGGCUGUGGGAGCGGCGCGGGGAGGCGACACCGCGGCGAGGAACCUCUGCGGAGGAGGGAGGGGGAGCGGAAAUGCCCCUGCUCAUCACCCGUGCCUCUCUCCUGCCCUGGGUAAGAGGAGCAUCUCCCCUUCAUCUCCCUCUUCAUCCUCCCCCCCUUGCUUCUCGGCGCUUCCAGGCUCUCUGUAUGGAAAUCACGAGCUGGCUCGGUGGAAAAAUCUCCCUUUUCUUCGCAUAGUGCCUCUGGAAUGUGUGCGGAAUCUCAAGGUGUGUGGGGGAGAGGGAGGCAGUGCCAGCAUUUUAUGGAGCUUGGUGUGUGUCCCCCCCUACCCCUAGUCCCUCUCCUCCAUCCGUGCUGUGAGCAGACACGCGUUCAUGGCUAAUAAAAACGCUUUUCCCUGUGUAUAAUUGGGCUGAGAGCUAAACCGAAAGCCAGUCCGUGUCCGGGAGCAGCCUGCAGAUCAACCAGGAGCUUUGGCAUCCCUGCGGUGUAGCCUGGCUGUGUUCACCUCAUGCUUCCCGGGAUCAAUAAGCACACUAACCAUACCGAUUAUGUGAUGUAUACGUUGGGCAGUACGGAGUGAUCGCAGCAUUACACCAGCACUUGUCUGCUGUGCUACAUGUGGUCUUCAAAAAAGAGAUGGUAAUUUUUGCGGAUUUUUUUGAUCAAGAAAGUUUUUGUCUUCUCUCCAUUACCUCUGUAAGCACCAGUUCACGGCCGUUUGCCAGUCUGGCAGUUUUAUGUUUCCAGAAUCUGUCACGAAAUAUUCGGAAACCACAGAAACCCAAGAUUCCUCUGGCAUCACGUCGGUUUGUUCCUGCCAGCAUGUUUGAUCAUUUUUAUGCUAAAUGAGCUGAUCUUAGUAAUGAUUUGCCCUGCUUGGGGUUUUAUUGACUUUUUCAUUAGCAAGGAGGUAAGAAAAGGACUGAAGGAAGGAUGUUACAGUUUGUGAAAAAAAUGCAGUGUCCAUUUCAAUUGUAGUAGCUGUUAAAUAUGUAGGCAUAUGUAUGCUGCCUUAUGCAGUUAUAAAAAUGAAAGACAUGCCAUCUUGCCUCCUUGCCUCAGAAUAUGAUUUCUCUCACAGCAACAAGUAGCACAGGCUCCUCUCUCCCCUUUUCUCCUCCCCUUCAGCCCCUCCUGACAAAAUGCCAGUUAUAAAGGUCAGCCUGUUUAUGUAAAGACUGUGUGUUUCUUAACAAAGACCGCUGCAGAUCAAGCCUGCAAUGACUAUCAAAUAGACUUGGGAUUCAAGACACUCAAUAAGAGCACUGUCCAUUUUCUAGGACUGAUGAAAUCCCAGGCAAAACAGAAGACAAAGAGCCGUAGCGUGUGACUGGGGUAGGUCACCAGCACCAGGGUGCACACGGGCAGCAGUGUCUUCAUAGCAGUGUUUGGUGCUGCAAAUGUUGGCAAGAUCCACUGGAGCUGUGUUUCGUCCUCUCUCUAACGACGUCCUUAGGCUGAACUUGCUUUGCAGCUCCUUCACACCAAAGGCAGCUUGAAUCAGCCAAGGAGAGUUUUGAGUCUGACCAACCCCACCCUCCCAACAGAAGAGAAGAGAUCGACUUCAUUAGUCUUUGGCUUUGCAAUGAGGUGUUUUCAUUUCAUAGCGUCCAGAGGUGCAGUGCACACGGUCUGAUCUUUAUUUCACUGUGCUCUCUUUCCCUCACUGCCACCUUCUUUCACCCGAAGAGCAGUACAACUUGGUUUCCUCAACUAGCAUAACCUCUGCUGGCCCUUUUCCACUUUAAAUCUAAUAAGAACAUUCUGAUAUUAUUCACUUCCUAGAAUUAUAGAAUCACAGAAUGGUUUGGUUUGAAGGGACAUUAAAGAUCAUCUCGUUCCAGCCCCCUAACACAAGCAGGGCCACGUUCCACUAGACCAGGCUGUUGUUUUUUAACCUAAAGGUUAAAAAAAGUUACUUUAUAAUUACAACACAGAUCUGCAACAGUGGUCAACUCCAAGACCUAAUUGUGGCCACAGUUCACUUUUGGCUCUUAAAAAUCACCCUGAAGCAGAGUUAAAGGGUUGUAGAGGACUAUGAUGCUUUUUGUUCAAUGAUGUUAAUAAUCUAUGGCCUUUGAAUAUGAUAUCACAGAGUCUCAUCCUAGGGCAGAAUAAUGAAAUCACAAGCAAUGGAACGGGGCAGAAACUUAUAUCAGUCCCCAAAAUACUAAAUGCAAACUGGGACCCAAUCUGAACUGAGGAGCUGCACAUCUGAUGUCAGAGGGGAGGGGCACUUCAAGACCUCCCAUCCUAAAAGCCUUGUGGCCCUGAAUUACAGGCCAUUAGAUUCCUUUGUCCUGUAAAUCUGCGUUAAAUAGCAGCGUGAUUCUGUGUCGGUAAACGCAGGUUUUAACAGCUUAUCCCAUAAUAUUUUAAUUUUUCUUCAUCUAUUCAGCCUUUUCACCCUUUUUCUCCCAGGACCUGCUUAUGCUUCUCUUUAGCUACCGAAAAAUGUAUGUAAUUUAUUAAGCCAGUUCAGUAGUUCUCUUAGUUUCCAGCAGACAAACCUAUUAUGCAAACAAUACUGUCACCUUCUUGCAGUGCCUUCUCCCGGCUGUAAUGAAUUCUCUGCAUGCUACUCUGCUGUAAAUUCUCCAUCUAAAAAUUCCACGCACUACGUGUUUUGUCAGGGGAAACUGUACUUGACUUUUGAAACAGUUGGGAGGAACAAAAUGAUAACCUACUAAAGUGCCUUGCCCUUAACUUGAAAUUAUGGCAAGUAAUUAAAGUUAGAGCAGAAAGACUUAAACUUUGGACUGCUUAUGUUCUUAGCGUUUUUGCUGGGAUGAGGUGUUUUUUUUUUUUAGAUGUCUGAUUUGAAUGUCAAAUUUGCAUAUUCAUCUAGAAAACAGAGGGAAUGCUUAA
Molecule: RNA transcript, 4316 nt
Organism: Pipra filicauda (Wire-tailed manakin)
Lineage: Eukaryota; Metazoa; Chordata; Aves; Passeriformes; Pipridae
Gene name: spidroin-1-like
Exons: 4
Source: RefSeq, a predicted model, not a curated record